UUUUUUUUUUUUUUUUUUUUUUAAUUUCAACAAUGGGGGAAAAAUGAGUUCCUUAAAGCAAUGCAGCUGAACAGUUUGUCCUGCUUAAACACAUGCUUUUAAUUUCAAUUAUGUAAGGCACCUUGCAGUGUUAGCAAAAUGUCUUCUUUGUUAGCUAUAUGUGUAUCGCCAUGGGAAAUUACCAAACUGUCACAAGACUCGCUGAUUAAAGAAUAGCCUGCCAGAGUGUGUGUGCCUUUGCCCAGUGUGACUCUUAGGUAUUAGGCUAAGGAAAACAGUUUAACAAAAUGUAGUGUGAAUCAUUCCUGAUAAGUGAAUAAAGCAUUGUGACCAAGCAAUCAGAUUAUUCACUUAUCAGGAAUCGACUGUACUGAUAGUUUGCCUGAUCGUUUUUGUUCCUCAUCUCUGUUGUAGUUUCACUACUUUGCUGUGUUCUGUUUUUUCUCUCAUGCUCUUAGUAAAAUCACUGGGAAUAUCCCUUCGUGUGAUCAUGAAACGUGCUACUGAGUAACAAAUAAAAAAAAAUUUAAAUAUAAAAAUGAUAUCUUAACAAAAUCUAUGCACUUGCUAUCAGGAACACAAUACUGGAUGUGUCUUAUAUAUAUUGAACUAUAAUAGUAUUCGAUUUCUUAAAUAAAGCUUAAGAAAGGAUUCUGUUGUCUGUAAAAUUUUAUGAGCAUUAAAUGGAACAAAAAAAUGUUUCUAGGAUUGGGCGCUUUUUGUUAUAUGAAAUCUUCCUGGGUAUAUGGUCUUUAACCAUGCCCAGGCAAAUGUUAAUUAAUUCGCUUGAUAUUUCAUUAAUAAUGGAGAUUUUGAAAAUUAGGCUUACUGAAAUCUGGGGGGAGAAAAAGUCUUGCCAUUCAGUGACUUGUAGCAAAAGAUUCUAAGAUGCAGAAAUUUUGGUCUUUCUGUAUUUGUAGAAGCAAACGUGUUUGGUUUUGCACUAAAAUCAAAAAAAUAGCUAAAAGAUAUGAAUCAAAAAAUGCUAGAAAACAAUACAAUACUGUACUUUUUGGCAUAUGGCUUUUUUUCCUCCUGAUUCUAGAUAGGUUUUGAAUUAAGACAUGAAAACCCAUAUACUCAAAAUUCCACAGAUUCAACCCUGGAGGUUAAAGCAUCUUUUUGGGGAAGAUCCAUGGCUUACUGUAUGUUUCCUGUAUUGAGCCUUCUCUUAAAAAAAAAAACAUUUUCACAUCAAAACCCAUGAAUUAAAUGGGAAUUGAAUAGGUAAAACUGUUGAGUACACUGAAAAAAAUUAUUCCUUCAAUGGCUGUAUAUUUGCCACGAAAUUGUAGAUUUUAAACAAUCUGAUUUUUAUGGAAAUGGCCAUAAUUCUUGUAUUUAUCAAACUUUCAAUAAUGUCAGCCUUUGGCAGAAAGAUCCAGGAGAAUGAGGGGAGGGGAGGGAGAGGGGUUGCUUUCUUUUUUUCUUUUGAACUGCAUUACUGCCUCAAUUUUCAUAUGCCAUUAUAUUAUCUGAAAAAAAAAAAAAUUAAAUUGUGGAAAUCUAUCUGCUGCUUGUAUCCUUCUAUUCAUGCAUCUUUAGUAAACGUUACUGAGCUCAACAUCCAGUGGCCAGGUGCACCAGCCUUGUAAGCCAAAAACACUGCUCCACCAGAGAGGUCACAGGGAAGAUUUGCCUUGGUGGGCAGCAGGAUGGUCCUGUCCAUCCCACAUCAUUACAGUGCUCAGGUGGGAACCCUGCCCUGCUUUUCAAGGGCUGCUGAUGUAACACAAAUAUUAAAUAAUCACAAUGAUUAGCUCAUAUUUGUAUUCCCUCUGAUUUUCCUCAUUAGCAGACUUUCUUUUUUUUUUCUUUUUUUUUUUUUUCUCCAUUAAAGGGAACUGGAAAGUUGCAGUCAUUUUCUGAAUCAUUUGCCCCUGUUGAUAACCUAAUUGUUUUACAUGAAUGCUAAUAUUUCCCUCUCACACAUUUAUAUCUAUCAGCUAAAUCAGCAGCAAAGUAAACUCUUCUGGGAUACAUUCCUAUAUCAAUUAGCAAGAAUUUAUGCUCCAAAGCACCAUUAGCAUUAAUGGGAGUGUGCUCUUUAGCAUAAACAAUUGGCAAUAGAUCUAGUGGACUUUAUUUCAUAAACAAAGGAGCAUUUGAAUCUUAGAGCCUUGUUGCCUCAAGACUGCACUUCAGGGAGUGAUGUCCCAGCCUCCCCGGCUGCUCUGGGGACAUCUCACUCACAGGACAUGCAUAAAUUCCUGAGUUGCCAGCAAAAGGAGACAGUGUCAGUUUGGAAAGUGGGCUGACUUCUGGCACAAGCUUUUGCUGGCGUUUUCCCUUCUGAAAACCUGCCUGAGAACGCACCGAGCGAAACUUUUGGCAUUAUCUCCUGUCCCUCCGACCAACAGCUUGAGAAAUGUCACUGUGAGUGUUGUGUAGUGCCUCAGGAUGGGGACACAGAGGGGAGGGAGGGAGUUUGGAAAGGGACAGGAGGAAGAGCAUGAAGCCCUGUAGGAAAGAAACUGGUGGGUCCAUCAUCUCCUUCAGCUGCCAGCCUCACAGCACCAUGGCUUUCAGUAGAGAGCUGCACUAGCUCUCUAGACCAGUAAACAACCAAGUCUCAGCUUCCACAUGUAGGCCAACAUUUUUUCCCUCACCCUAUGUUUGAUCAACAAAUACACAACCAAAAUAUUUCAGCCUUAAUCUGAAGAGCUGGGGCAAAAGUCCACCACUUCCCAGUGGUGCAAGAUCUACUGAAUCCGUGGCCGUGCUGCUGCAGAUGUUUUUUCUGUAGGUUUUGGCUUUGCUCAGUUCUGCUACAUUAGAGCCCUUCUGCAUCUGCCAUUCCCCCCCAAAGGCACUCAUAAGCAAGUCUCAAGUUGCUUUUCAUCCCAUGUUCAUAAAACAAAUACAUCAUGCUCUAGAAGCAUCCACACACAAUAGUGGGUUUUAGUCCCCGAAUAAUUUGUGUGCUUUAUUUCUGCAACUUUUUUUCUUUUUUCCCCGACAUUCUUUCUAAAUUUGGGUUACCAGAGCCAGAUACAUUAUUUCAACAUCAAGUGGUGAAAUAUGCAGAAAUUUAAAAUUUCAUCCCUACUCUACUCCUCCGAAUGACACAGCCAGGGAUAGCGUCAGUCCCUCUAAAAAUAACAUGCAAAAGCAACAAAAUAUCACAUUAGCAGAAUUAUUUGGGGCUGCUCCUUGAGGAUGCUGAAAUCCCUCUGAGAUGCAUUGUGCUCCAGGUUCCUGUGUGUGUGGUCUGUUUGCCUGUUCUCCACUUGAAAGCCUCUUUACAACCACACUGAGAGCAUUUCUGUAUAACUACUAGUCACCUCCAAUAUUUUCCAAUGUUGUCAGCAGUUUUGGUAUUUACUUCCAAGUCAUUAUUGAAAAUAUUCAAUAGCAUUCAGACCCCCUCUAAAAAAACCACUCUCCUACAGUGAGUCUCCUUUGACAGCUUCUUUGUUGACAUGUCAGCCCAUUCUUAAUCCAUUUUAUGUGCCUUGUAUUGAUAGGGUAGAAUGCUAAUUUUUAAAUCAGAAUCUGUUGUGCUGUCAAACAUACAAAAGUCAGAAUAUAUUUCAUCUUUGCAAUUACUUUUAUCGGCCAAAACCUACAAUCACAUCAAAGAAUGAAAUCCAGUUUGACAACCCUUCCUCCCUUAAAAACAUGUUGAUUGGCAUUAAUUGUUUACCUCAUCUUUAAUGUGUUUAUACCCAUAUCAAUAUGUCCAUUAUUUUGCCAAAUUAAUGUCAAACUAGCCAACCAUGGGCUGGGCCAUCCUUCCUGUCUUUUAUCAGUACAUGGGAAUGUCACAUUUCCCAUCCCAUCUGGGAUUCUGCUGGUGUGCUCAAAUAUGCCUAAGGGUCCAUGUCAGUGGAUCAGAGCUCUCUGUUCUAUUCUCAGCCCCAGCCACCUGGGGCUACCACAUCUUCAACAAAAUGGUAGCUAAGUAGACUCUUACAGACCUAAGCUCAACAAUAAAAUAAACACACCUAAAGAAAUUUUUGUAGUUGAGUCCUGCCUCCUCAUCCAGGUAGAGCUGUCCAUUUAGUGUGGAAGCAGUGAAUAUUUGUUUAUAUGUGAUAUAUUAUGUAAAGAUCAAUAGGAAGCAUGUGUGAAGGUAAAAAUACCCUUUAAUUCACCAUCCUCUGAAGAGACAGAGCUGCUUUUAUUGGUGCACAUGUGAGUGAGUUCAAGCCCUGUGGCUUUGAAGGAGGCAGCAGAGAAGAGUCAGUGCCACCUGAGGAUACCUGGGGCCUAUUAGAGAAGAGAGAUGAUUUGGAAAUCAGAAGAAACCUUAACCAAACAGGCCUGGUAGUGCAGCAGCAGUAAGAGAGGAAGGUGCUGUACUGUUCUAUGCAGCAGCACAGGUGCUGGUUCAGGCCAUGGUGAUCCCACAGAGCUGUUGAGUUACCAAUGCAUCUGCUCAGAAACCUCAGCCCAGCAGACAUGAGCUGCUGCUUUACCCUGUAGCCAUCUCCACCAGUCAGGGUAACAAAAUGCAUCCUGCAUUUUUCCCCCAUGAAGCAGUGUGCUAAAGACCAGGCAGCGAGGGAGCUGUCUGGAGGUGUUGCUGACUUUCAGUGACUGUAAGAGACAACAGGAGCAAAAGGAAGUUUUCUCAGUAGAGACUUCAAGUAGUGCCCCCAGUGCCCAAGGAUACCCUGCUGACUGCUUAACUGCAGCCCCUGCAAAGAAGGGCAGUGCUGGGUUGAUGGCUGUACUUGAUGAUCUAAAAGGUCUUUCCCAACCCAAAUCAUUCUGUGAUUCCAGGGGCUUGCAGACAUGAUGCAGGAUGAAUAGGGCAUUUAUGACCUCCAGCUCUCCUAGGCCAUUUCAAGGGCUCUAAAUACUAAAAGUGUAGGAGUCUGGUGCAUCCAGGUACUCAGCUAAGGAUCCCUAAGCUUAGAAGAAUGAAUCUGUGAGCUGAAUCCCACUUUAAGGCCUAUAUUCACUUUGCUAAACCUGGGCCAUGUUGGAUACUCCCGGGCAACUCAAAUGGCAUUGAUUCCUGCAUUUAUUAAAGAAAAAUUGAGCUCUAGGGGUCUAAUUUGUAGACAGUUGAAGGUGAAAUACAGUGAAUCCUAUUGUUAACAAAUGAGCCCCAGGUGAUGUCCCAUAGGCCCUAAGUGGGAAUUGUACCAUACCAAUAAAAACACCAGCUGCACUAGAACUGCUUUUUAGGGGAUAGAUGUAUGCAGAAUAUCCCUCUGACAGGAAAGCCAGACCCCCGAGGACUUGUACUUACGUGAUCUAUAGAGCACCUCUGGCAUUAGUUUCAUCCUAUUCAGCUUUUGGCCUUGAGGAUCCCUAGGAAAUGAUUGCUUACAUUUCUUGUGGAUGUGGCAAAGUAUCAAAUAAUUAGUGACACUUGAGUCUCUGAUCCUGGUGUAAUCAUGCCACACACUUUAGCAUCCCACGUCCCUAAGCCAUGUAUCCUCUUGCUCAAAAGAAUAAUAAAAUAAAAAGCAGAAAACUUCACAGACUCACUGGGCAAUUUGUUGCUCUGCUUGACUGCCAUCAUGGUGAAGAUGUCUUUCCUGAUACCUCUAGUGUUGCAACUCAUGCCCUUUCCUCUCACACCUGCCAGAUGCCAUUACAAAAAUCCAUGCUAAAACAUCUUGAGAAGUCCCCCAAGGGCUCCAGGGCAGUGUGCCACUCUUAGGUGCCCCCAAGCUGUCUCUGCUCCAGGCUGAACAAGCCCAGCUCCCUCAGCCUCUGCUGGCAGGGGACAGCUUGGGCCAUGCUGGCAGUUUGUCCAUUACUUGGAUGUACUGGAGGCACCAGAAAGUGGAUGCAGUACCUAGACAUGGUAUAGCACAUUCUUAGUAGGUAGAUUUUCUGGGGGAUGUCCUGGCUCUGCUGCUCUCCAUGCAGCUGAAGCUGUUGGCUUGGUUUGCUGCCAGGGCUCACUGCUGGCUUGUGGUGACCUUCCAUCAGGACACACACCCCCACUCCACAUCCCUUUCAGCAGAGUUCCUCCCCAGCCUGUCCAUUCACAGCCUUUACCACUGCAAGCCCCUUUCCCUCUUGGGUGUGGGUCUCUGCAUUUGUCCUUCUUGAAUUUCACUCAUUUCCUGCUGGCCCUCUCCUCCAGCCUGCUCAGCUUGCUCUGAAUGACAGCCCCAUCCUUGGUCAUCCCUCAAAUAUUUUGUCAUUUGCAAAUUUCACAGGGUGGGACAUGUAGUGGUGUGAAAAAUCAAUGUUGCACUUGCCUUUGGUUGCAUUUCUCCUUCUACAUGUGGGUGAAUCUAAGGCAAGUCAAGGCUGAGGAGACAGUCACCACAUUAUGAUACUAGUCCCCUCUCCCUUUACUUUAAAAUUAAAAUAAAAUAAAAACAAGGAUAUUCCAGGAGGAGCCAAUAAAGGAAACAGGUAGUUCUCUAGCAGGCACAUGUAACUACUCACACAGCCCAUUCUGAGCACCCCUGGGCAUCAGAACUGGAAUAUCUUCUCAUCACCCUGCUGUGAAACACACUCAGGCAAUAUUCACUGGUCCUAACACCUACCAGUGCUUGUGGGUGUCCACAACAGCGACAGAGCUGUGGCUGCAGCACUGCCAGGAUGGCCAAGAUCCUUCUCAAGGAUCCUGUCACUUGCAAAUGACAGGAACACACCCACCCACCCAAUUCUCUUGCCAGCCAGUGUCAGUCUGCUGCAGUCAACUGAAAACAUUCUUCCCUUCCAUGGGCAUGAACACAACUUGUGGUACAAGGUUUUGGGCUUCCUGCUCUCCUGUCCUGAUCCCAGAUUUUUUUGCAAUUCACCUUUCUCCAACACACCCUGAGCAAACCUUGGGUUUCUAAUAAAUAUAUGGGAGGGGAAAGGGGAAAUAGCAACAGCACCAUUCAGCCAGGGACUGAGAAUAUGCUGACCAGAAAGGUGCACUCCUUGACCAGCAUAUGUGCAGGAGUCAGAGAGGUCACAGAGGACUCUUUCUCCUCCCCUUCCCACAUCCCAGCUUCCUGUCCCAAACAAUGGUCAUACAAGCCUAGAAAAUUGGGUGCCAUAGGCAGAUGUAUUGUCAGUUAAUCUUUUUUUUUUUUUUUUGCAAACACCAUUUGCCAAGCUAGUGGAUCCAAUGAUCAUCUUGGCCUUACACAGUUAAUACUAUCACAAAUUCCCAUGUGAGGUAGCCCUGCCUGUCCCCUUCCAAGCUCUUUCUGCAUGACUGGGAAUGCUUGCUUACUAAACAGCUUUUCUUUAUGCCAAAAAUAGACUUUCCAAAAGAAAGAAAACCCUAGCACAGCCCUAUCCCAGCCCAUGCACCUCCCUUUUAGUGUUCCUGCUUCCCAUACAAGAGUUACAGCUGCGGCCAACUUCUGAACAGCAGCAGAGGGGCUGGGGUGGGCUGGGCAGUGUAAGU
This 7321-nucleotide long non-coding RNA is filed under the name Taeniopygia guttata (zebra finch). RNAcentral's name for it is "lncRNA (ENSTGUG00000026241.1)". Lineage: Eukaryota; Metazoa; Chordata; Aves; Passeriformes; Estrildidae. The record is from RNAcentral.